UGAGCAAUCUGCCCUUCUCAUCGGAAUAAGCGUUGGAAACGACGUCUAAUGCCGAAUACGACCUCCUUUCGCAUGAUCGGAGGUGGAAAGCUCCGGCGGAGAAGGAUGAGCUCGCGGCCUAUCAGCUAGUUGGUGUGGGUAAUGGCUCACCAAGGCGAUGACGGGUAGCCGGCCUGAGAGGGUGACCGGCCACACUGGGACUGAGACACGGCCCAGACCUCUACGGGGA
Molecule: ribosomal RNA, 229 nt
Filed under: uncultured bacterium
Lineage: Bacteria
Description: partial 16S ribosomal RNA
Rfam family: Bacterial small subunit ribosomal RNA
Source: RNAcentral